This 450-nucleotide ribosomal RNA is filed under the name uncultured prokaryote. RNAcentral describes it as "bacterial SSU rRNA". It matches the Rfam family "Bacterial small subunit ribosomal RNA", at positions 355 to 796 of the family's 1533-position model. The record is from RNAcentral.
UAGGGAAUAUUGCGCAAUGGUCGAAAGACUGACGCAGCGACGCCGCGUGUGGGAGGAAGCCUUUCGGGGUGUAAACCACUGUCAGGUGGGAAGAAACACGCGCGUCCAAACAGGACGUGCGCAUGACGGUACCAUCAGAGGAAGCGCCGGCUAACUCCGUGCCAGCAGCCGCGGUAAGACGGAGGGCGCAAGCGUUGUUCGGAAUUACUGGGCGUAAAGCGCGGGCAGGUGGUUCGUUAAGUCUUUUGUGAAAACCCGGGGCUCAACCCCGGGCAUGCAGAAGAUACUGGCGGACUAGAGACCGGUAGAGGCUAGUGGAAUUCCUGGUGUAGCGGUGGAAUGUGUAGAUAUCAGGAAGAACACCGGUGGCGAAGGCGGCUAGCUGGGCCGUGUCUGACACUCAUCCGCGAAAGCGUGGGGAGCAAACAGGAUUAGAUACCCGUGUAGUCC